GGUAUUUUGACCGUGCAAAGGUAGCAUAAUCAUUAGUUUUUUAAUUGGAAGCUGGUAUGAAAGGUUGGAUGAAAAAUAAGCUGUCUCUAUUUAAUUUCAUUAGAAUUUUAUUUUUAAGUUAAAAAGCUUAAAUUUUAAUAGAAGACGAGAAGACCCUAUAGAGUUUUAUUUAUUUUUUUAAUAAAAUUAUUAGUAUUGAUUAUUUUUAUUGAUUAGAUAAAUUUGGUUGGGGUGAUCAAAAAAUUUGAUAAACUUUUUUUACAUAUAAACAUUUAUAUAUGAUUAAUUGAUCCUUAACUUAAGAUUAAAAGAUAAAAUUACCUUAGGGAUAACAGCGUAAUUUUUUUUGAGAGUUCAAAUCGAAAAGAAAGAUUGCGACCUCGAUGUUGGAUUAAAAUAAAAUUUUGGUGUAGAAGCUAAAA
Molecule: ribosomal RNA, 422 nt
Filed under: Laparocerus subopacus
Lineage: Eukaryota; Metazoa; Arthropoda; Insecta; Coleoptera; Curculionidae
Description: partial 16S ribosomal RNA
Source: RNAcentral